This 58-nucleotide transfer RNA is filed under the name Salmo salar (Atlantic salmon). It matches the Rfam family "tRNA", at positions 8 to 63 of the family's 71-position model. From Rfam's summary of the family: Transfer RNA (tRNA) molecules are approximately 80 nucleotides in length. Their secondary structure includes four short double-helical elements and three loops (D, anti-codon, and T loops). RNAcentral also lists the same sequence under 1 other name. The record is from Rfam by way of RNAcentral. Lineage: Eukaryota; Metazoa; Chordata; Actinopteri; Salmoniformes; Salmonidae.
UGGCUCAGUUGGUAGAGCAUAGCGCUUGCAACGCCAGGGUUGUGGAUUCGAUUCCCAC